AAGCAGAGCACCGCUCUGUUCUGUCUUGGUCGCAAGGACAAGCAGACGUGCACCGCCACGGACGGCGUUCCCGCACGGGCAGUCAGCAACAGCAUGUCCCGAGAUCCACGACGAGCUCCCGCAGCAGCGCCUCGAACACGGCGGCCUCGACCGCGGCGCCGACGUCGUGGCGCUCGGGCCGCACGUCGGCGGCGUCGAGCCUGGAGGCCGGGAGCUCGGACGCGACCAGCCCCGACACCCGCGCCAGCUCCUCCCUGUGCGCGUCCCAGUAGGCGGCGGCGGGCUCGUCGUCGCGGCAGUUCUUGGGGCUCGAGCGGUAGCCGCCGCCGCCGCAGUAGUAGCGGUCGUCUGCGUCGGCGUCAACGUCACCGUCCAUGAGGAGGUGCUCGGACUUGGCGAGCAGCUGGGCCAGCAGCGCGGGGCUGUACGCCGCGUCCAGGAGGUCCCGGAAGACGUCCUUAGACGUCGGGGACAGCAGGUUGCCGUGGACCGGGGAGCUGUCGAACGGGUGGUCCAGGACGGAGACGGGGCUCAGCUGCUGCUUCUCGUCGUCGUCGUCGUCGGCGGCGGUAGUCUUGACGGCGUCCAGCUCCAGGCGACGGUCGGAGCAGCACGGCGCAGGCGCGACGGCGGCGGGGUUGGUGGGCGCCAGCUUGAAGGAGCCGGAGAGCUGCAGCGCGGCGGGCUUCCGUGGCGGGGGCGCCGCUCGACCGCCGCCGCCGCCGCGGAGGAUCUUGGAGAGCAGGAGGCGGAGGAGCCCGCCGGCAGGCUUCUGCUGCUGCUUGUUGCCGGCGGCGGCGGCCGGCUUGUUGUUCCUCUUGCUGGUGAGGCGCCUGAGCGCCGCGGCGGCGGCGUCGGUGCCGGCGGCGGCGGGCCAGCACGGCGCGGCGUCGUAGCCGUUGAGUAGGAGGCGCGAGGAUGCGCAGCCCCUCUCGAGCAGGUGCAGGUCCAGGACGAACGGCUCCUGCUUCUCCUCCAGCAGCUCCGACAGGCGCCGGCCGGACGGCGACGGCGACAGGCACGCCAUUGCGGGUGUAGUAGAGGGACGGAGAGUUGUGUGUAGCGCCGAGAGGAAGAAGAGAGGCGGUGGAGUCUGAGGAGGUAUGAACUCUGAAGAAGAAUGAGCGAACCGAGGAGGAGGAGGGUGCUGUGGAUGCGUGGAUGGCGGGGAGCUUAUAAUGGAGAGGCGGCCGAGAGGGAGAAGGGGCAUGGGCAUGGGCCAAGGCCAACCAACCACCUAGUCGGAGUAGAGUGGACAGAUGAGACAAGGAGACGAGCAAUGAAUGGGGAGACAAGGAGGUUGCGAGCAGAUUCUUGUGCCCUCCUAAUCCUGUCGUGGUAUCAGACAAGCCCUGAUUUUCCUAAUCGUAUACUGUACAUGGUUAAAG
This 1388-nucleotide unclassified non-coding RNA is filed under the name Zea mays. Its description in RNAcentral is "misc RNA Zm00001eb201860". Lineage: Eukaryota; Viridiplantae; Streptophyta; Magnoliopsida; Poales; Poaceae. The record is from RNAcentral.